AUCACAUCGAGCUCCUUAAUUUCUUUUACCCUUCUUCAAAAUAAAAUGAAAACCCACAACAAUCAAAUCCUUUUAUCUUUCUUCCCUAAUUUAUAAUUAUAAUUUAUAUUCCUCUGUUUGUUAUUCUUCUUCAAAACCCAAUUGAAUAUAUCUCCAAAACUCAACAGACGCUACGCUUCGUCGAGUCGAUUCUCGAUUGAGCUAACAACAGAUAAUUGAGCGCAUGGAAAAACAUGAAAUAGCGAUUCAAAGAUAUCAUGUACACGUGGAGAGCUGCUUUGACACACAAGUUGCUAGCAUUGCUACCUGGAUGGGAUUUGCACCAUAAAAGAUACCUCAGUAAAUGAAGCAGUCAAAGAAACUUUGUCGCAUAGAUGCUAUGACUACAUUCAAUUUCCCAAGCAUCUUUGCGUUUUCUGGUUUGGUGCUCCAUUUUACAGGACAUCGAUAGUUCUGCUUACACUCAUUAAGGAUGUCCUUAUUGUAACUGGGCAGAUCAUCUCCUGCAGAUCAUGCUCAUGUAACUGGGCAGUCGCCAGUGAAAUGACCAUUAUCUUGCGGAAGUAAAGAGGACUUGCCUCCAGAAAUGGUGGUUGGUUCUGCUUCUGCUGAUGACUGUGCUGUUAAGCCAUUGAUUGUUCAGCUGCUAAGUGGGGAAAGAGGCUUUUCAUAGGAUGUAUUCCAAUUGAAGCUACUUUAAUAAUGUGCGGUUGCAUUCCAGUCAGUUUGGCCAUGUUUUGGACGUGUAUCUUCCCAAGUUGGAGCUAUGCCAGAAAGCUUUGGAGGAGAAUAUAAUUGUUUAUUUGGGGACAGUUUGUGGGAAGACCCACAUUGCUGUACUGCUUACACACAAGCUGAGUCACUUGAUAAGGAAGCCCCAGAAGCAGAUAUGCAUCUUUUUGCCCCUACAGUGGCUCUGGUUUAGCAGGUAAGCUACUAUUUACCAUGUUGGUUUUUUAAUUUGAUGUUCAGUUUUGGGUUGUAUUUAAGUUUGAGACAAAUUUUCUAGUUUAUAUGACUAAUACAUUGCACAGUAAUGAAGUCGUGUGCUCCUUGGCUUGGCUGAGGUGGAAGGUGUGCAGGCCGUGAGAAGGUGGUUGGGCUGUUUGUUUUAACUUUAGUGCUUAUGUGUGCAAUUUCUUAUUGCAACUCUAGAUUUUAAGGAGGGGCUUUCUGAUUCUAAGUGGUUCAAUUUCACUUUGGAAGGGUGUUUGGCAUUUAAUAUAUUGAAUCAAGAUUAUACGAUGAACUCAUUACUCCUUGAAAUAUAUUAACAAAAUCAAAAUAAGGCUAGAAUACAAUACCUAAACAUCAAUUUCUAGCAUUGAGGAUUCAAUUACUAGAAAUCGGCCAACCUUGAUUGUGCAGAAGUGUGGGUUUACUCUUCUAAACCUUUGUAAAUAUACAAAGAUGCUACAGUAACCGUGUAAGCUUUGUAUACAAUAUUUUAUUGAUUUCUCUCUUUCUCUCUCCCUUCUUUGUCUAUGUUCAUCCCAGAUUGCUUCAAAUCCACCCAACACGGCCCAACCACCACUCAAUCACCACCACCACAACCCAUCACAACUCAUCACAACCCAUGAUAUUCCAAUCACAAAAUCAACCAAAAACAAAGGAAAAUCAAACCAAAAAUCAAUCUAAACCCAAAAUCAAACCUUCAAUGGAAAAUUCAACAACUUAGAACCCAAAAUCAAACUUUCAACAAAAAACCCGUCAACCCAAACCCAAAAUCAAACCCAAACCCAAAUUGAAGCCGUCGUUGUCACCACUGCCAUGGAGAGCUUGCUGCUUCUUUGCUCAUGGAGAGCUUGCUGCUGCCAUGAGAGAGGAGAGAAACAAGUGCUUGAGAGCUACGGCAAAGGAAAAGAUCAAAAAAAAAAAAAAAAUGAAGAGAAAAGACCGUGGGAGA
Molecule: long non-coding RNA, 1906 nt
Organism: Quercus lobata
Lineage: Eukaryota; Viridiplantae; Streptophyta; Magnoliopsida; Fagales; Fagaceae
Exons: 3
Source: RefSeq, a predicted model, not a curated record